GAUGAACGCUGGCGGCGUGCCUAAUACAUGCAAGUCGAGCGAACAGAUGAGGCGCUUGCUCCUCUGACGUUAGCGGCGGACGGGUGAGUAACACGUGGAUAACCUACCUAUAAUACUGGUAUAACUUCGGGAAACCGGAGCUAAUACCGGAUAAUAUCUUGAUCCGCAUGGUUCAAUAGUGAAAGACGGUUUUGCUGUCACUUCUAGAUGGAUCCGCGCCGCAUUAGCUAGUUGGUACGUUAACGGCUUACCACGGCAACGAUGCGUAGACGACCUGAGAGAGGGAUAGGCCACACUGGAACUGAGACACGGUCCAGACUACUAAGGGAGGCAGCAGUAGGGAAUCUUCCGCAAUGGGCGAAAGCUUGACGGAGCAACGCCGCGUGAGUGAUGAAGGUCUUCGGAUCGUAAAACUCUGUUAUGAGGGAAGAACAAAUGUGUAAGUAACUAUGCACGUCUUGACGGUACCUAAUCAGAAAGCCACGGCUAACUACGUG
RNAcentral lists this ribosomal RNA (497 nucleotides) under uncultured bacterium. RNAcentral's name for it is "partial 16S ribosomal RNA". It matches the Rfam family "Bacterial small subunit ribosomal RNA", at positions 28 to 507 of the family's 1533-position model. The record is from RNAcentral.